AGUUAGAGUAGUAUUAGUUAUGAUCUUAAAACUUAAAAAAUUUGGCGGUAUUUUAAUCUAAUCAGAGGAACUUGUUUUAUAAUUGAUAAUCCUCGUUGAAUCUUACUUAAAUUUGUUUAAUUUGUAUAUCGUUGUCAUAAGAAUAUCUUAAAAGAGAAAAAAUUUUCUAAUUUAAAAAUAAUUAAUUAUGUCAGAUCAAGGUGCAGUUUAUAUUUAAGAAAAAGUGAGUUACAUUUAAAAAAAUUAAUGACGGAUUUAAGUUUAAAAUUAUAAUGAAGGAGGAUUUGAUUGUAAAUUUUAAAAGAUUAUAAAGUUGAUUUUAGUUCUAAAAUAUGC
Molecule: ribosomal RNA, 336 nt
Filed under: unidentified
Description: Platyceridion sp. NB-2020 partial 12S ribosomal RNA
Source: RNAcentral